GAUGAACGCCGGCGGCGUGCCUAAUACAUGCAAGUCGAGCGAACAGACGAGGAGCUUGCUCCUCUGACGUUAGCGGCGGACGGGUGAGUAACACGUGGAUAACCUACCUAUAAGACUGGGAUAACUUCGGGAAACCGGAGCUAAUACCGGAUAAUAUAUUGAACCGCAUGGUUCAAUAGUGAAAGACGGUUUUGCUGUCACUUAUAGAUGGAUCCGCGCCGCAUUAGCUAGUUGGUAAGGUAACGGCUUACCAAGGCGACGAUGCGUAGCCGACCUGAGCGGGGGGUCGGCCACACUGGAACUGAGACACGGUCCAGGCUCCUGCGGGAGGCAGCAGUAGGGAAUCUUCCGCAAUGGGCGAAAGCCUGACGGAGCAACGCCGCGUGAGUGAUGAAGGUCUUGGGAUCGUAAAACUCUGUUAUUAGGGAAGAACAAAUGUGUAAGUAACUAUGCACGUCUUGACGGUACCUAAUCAGAAAGCCACGGCUAACUACGUG
This 497-nucleotide ribosomal RNA is filed under the name uncultured bacterium. RNAcentral's name for it is "partial 16S ribosomal RNA". It matches the Rfam family "Bacterial small subunit ribosomal RNA", at positions 28 to 507 of the family's 1533-position model. The record is from RNAcentral.